Molecule: ribosomal RNA, 859 nt
Filed under: uncultured bacterium
Lineage: Bacteria
Description: bacterial SSU rRNA
Rfam family: Bacterial small subunit ribosomal RNA
Source: RNAcentral
CAUGCAAGUCGAGGGGCAGCGGGAUUGAAGCUUGCUUCAAUUGCCGGCGACCGGCGCACGGGUGAGUAACGCGUAUCCAACCUUCCGUACACUCAGGGAUAGCCUUUCGAAAGAAAGAUUAAUACCUGAUGGUAUCUUAAGCACACAUGUAAUUAAGAUUAAAGAUUCAUCGGUGUACGAUGGGGAUGCGUUCCAUUAGGUAGUAGGCGGGGUAACGGCCCACCUAGCCUACGAUGGAUAGGGGUUCUGAGAGGAAGGUCCCCCACAUUGGAACUGAGACACGGUCCAAACUCCUACGGGAGGCAGCAGUGAGGAAUAUUGGUCAAUGGACGAGAGUCUGAACCAGCCAAGUAGCGUGAAGGAUGAAGGUCCUACGGAUUGUAAACUUCUUUUAUAAGGGAAUAAACCCUCCCACGUGUGGGAGCUUGUAUGUACCUUAUGAAUAAGCAUCGGCUAACUCCGUGCCAGCAGCCGCGGUAAUACGGAGGAUGCGAGCGUUAUCCGGAUUUAUUGGGUUUAAAGGGAGCGCAGACGGGUCGUUAAGUCAGCUGUGAAAGUUUGGGGCUCAACCUUAAAAUUGCAGUUGAUACUGGCGUCCUUGAGUGCGGUUGAGGUGUGCGGAAUUCGUGGUGUAGCGGUGAAAUGUUUAGAUAUCACGAAGAACUCCGAUUGCGAAGGCAGCACACUAAGCCGUAACUGACGUUCAUGCUCGAAAGUGUGGGUAUCAAACAGGAUUAGCUACCCUGGUAGUCCACACGGUAAACGAUGGAUACUCGCUGUUGGCGAUAUACUGUCAGCGGCUUAGCGAAAGCGUUAAGUAUCCCACCUGGGGAGUACGCCGGCAACGGUGAAACUCAAA